CUCGAGAAGAGGAUUGAGAGUCUGGAGACUCUCGGCCGAGGACUCACCCGCUGACAGAUGGUCGAACUGCUGCAGGGGUUCCCCAUAAAACGGCUGGUCGGUGGAGGCUGUCACUAACGUGCCGGUCAUCAUCACCUCUUCCAGCUUCUGAAGAAUUGAUGGAGAAGGCAUUCCUGACCGAAGAAUUGACAGAGAAGGCACAAGAACUUUUCGGAAGACACGUGACCUGGCCGUGAUUUCAAGAGACCAAAUUCUGUUGUUUUAAAAAUCUAACUGGACCUUGUAUUAAUUGGAACAGCAUACCAUUAGAAUCUUGCUUUAUUCACGAAUAGUUAGUAGUUAGAAAGAAUUUAUUCACUUUGUUAAUUGCUUAGUUAAUUUGUUCACUGUCAGAGUUAGAUAAAUAAAUUGUGACUUAUGGAUUGUAAA
Molecule: long non-coding RNA, 429 nt
Organism: Stegostoma tigrinum
Lineage: Eukaryota; Metazoa; Chordata; Chondrichthyes; Orectolobiformes; Stegostomatidae
Exons: 2
Source: RefSeq, a predicted model, not a curated record